This 433-nucleotide ribosomal RNA is filed under the name uncultured bacterium. Its description in RNAcentral is "partial 16S ribosomal RNA". It matches the Rfam family "Bacterial small subunit ribosomal RNA", at positions 29 to 507 of the family's 1533-position model. The record is from RNAcentral.
AACGAACGCUGGCGGCAUGCCUAACACAUGCAAGUCGAACGAGACCUUCGGGUCUAGUUGCUCACGGGUGCGUAACGCGUGGGAACCUGCCCUUAGGCUCGGAAUAACUCCCCGAAAGGGGUGCUAAUACCGGAUAAUGUCUGCUGACCAAAGAUAUAUCGACUUUGGAUGGGCCGGCGUUGGACUAGCUUGUUGGUAGGGUAAAAGCCUACCAAGGCGAGGCUCCAUAGCUGGGCUGAGAGGCACCUCAGCCACACUGGGACUGUGAAGCGGCGCGGACUCUUACGGGAAGCGGGAGUGGGGAAUACUGGACUAUGGGGGAAGUGCUGAACCAGUACGGGCGGGUGAGUGAUGAAGGCCGUAGGGUUGUAAAGCUCUUUUACACGGGAUGAUAAUGACAGUACCGAGAGAAUAAGCACCGGCUAACUCCGUG